UACGAAGGGGGCUAGCGUUGCUCGGAAUUACUGGGCGUAAAGCGUGCGCAGGCGGCCAUUCAAGUCAGGGGUGAAAGCCCAGAGCUCAACUCUGGAACUGCCCUUGAAACUGUAUGGCUUGAGUAUGAGAGAGGUGAGUGGAAUUCCCAGUGUAGAGGUGAAAUUCGUAGAUAUUGGGAAGAACACCGGUGGCGAAGGCGGCUCACUGGCUCAUAACUGACGCUCAUGCACGACAGCGUGGGGAUCAAACAGG
RNAcentral lists this ribosomal RNA (253 nucleotides) under uncultured bacterium. RNAcentral describes it as "partial 16S ribosomal RNA". It matches the Rfam family "Bacterial small subunit ribosomal RNA", at positions 524 to 776 of the family's 1533-position model. The record is from RNAcentral.